Long non-coding RNA from Gasterosteus aculeatus aculeatus (three-spined stickleback), 960 nucleotides. The record is from Ensembl. NCBI's taxonomy places the organism in Eukaryota, Metazoa, Chordata, Actinopteri, Perciformes, Gasterosteidae.
CCUAACAGCAGACACAGACUAAUGGAGCUUGUCUUUACAGUGAAGGUUCCAUCAGACAGGAUGAAAGCCAGAUCCCUCCAGUCCUCCGGCACAGGAAGGCCGCUCGCUCCACCGAGUCCACGGGCGAUCGGCCAGCUGUGACAGCAGCGAGCAGCGGAGACGACAAUGGCGACUCCGACUCCGGAGCGCGCCUCCUUCACCCCGUCCUUCCUCCACCCGCACUCGGCCGGGUCAUCGUCAGCCCGUCUCCCGUGUGAGUGCUGGACGUCCGGUUGCACUUUAACCCUCGUUAGAGCCAAACUGUGUCCCUUCUAUUGAUCAGCAUAAAGCACACAUGCAACUGUCUGUGGAACACGUGAAGCGCCUGCCAAUGUUACCGUGCUGCUGGGAAGGAACUGAGAAGGAACGCUCAUGAAAUGAUGCAUUAGCUUCGCUAUUAUGUAUGAAUGUUUUGCCUUUUUGUCAGAUGUGUUUAUAAAAAAAAUAGUUCCUCACUAAAAAAAGUUCCUUUUUUUUUUAUAUAUUCUUUUACCAAAUGAGUUUGUAGUAAUACCUUCUGCACUAUACUGUCUCUGAAUAGACCUUUGAGUCACCCUGACGGGAAGGGGACACAGCUCCGUUUACAAAAGAGGUCCAAGGGCUCGAGGAGCUUCACGUCCACCCGUGGAGGUCAGGCUGAAGGUCCUAUUCAGGCCCCUCAGGUUCCAGCCUCUUUCACCACAAAUGAAUCACACCUCCACACGCUGCUGCCCGCCACAUGUGUCCGGUGCCUUCAACAAAAACAUGUCCAACCACCGGGACAGUCCCUUGAGUCUGAGACAAAAGGGCAGUUUGAGGUCUUUACAAGGGGACUGUGUGUGUCUUUGUGUCUCCUCCACCCAGAGGACUAACCUAGACGCACAUAUUGGCUUAGUCAUUGCAAAUGUUUCAUCAGCACCAGUGGACUGCGAUUAAAGACGU